This 388-nucleotide long non-coding RNA is filed under the name Capsicum annuum. RNAcentral describes it as "long non-coding RNA (CANN_LNC002722)". The record is from RNAcentral. Lineage: Eukaryota; Viridiplantae; Streptophyta; Magnoliopsida; Solanales; Solanaceae.
GGGUAUAUGAAGAUUUUUUUUUUUACUAUGGGAGGCUUAAGUUAUUCAUUCGAUGAGGUUUUUGAAUCCAUAAAUGUCUGUUGGGUUUUUGCCUGAUUGUUCUACGAGGAUAAUUGAGCCUCGAUUGGGAUGUCGUAUAUCAAUAGGAGAAAGAUGAAGGGAAGUAAAAGUAUGGAACUUAGGGAUUUUGGUGGAUUUGGUUCGAUGGUGGAAGAAAUAAGAUUACAAUUGACAUUGAAAUAGAUAUAGGGGAUUGUUUCUCCUUUGCUCAAGAUUUCUGUAAGGAGAUGAUAAUUGCUCAUUGUUGCCUACAGUUAUCUGGCUCUUUAUUUUUCUUUUUCAUAAUCAACAUUUUAUUAGUGAGUUGUUAUUUGGAGGUAAUUAGGAG